GGCAGCAUGGCCGAGUGGUCUAAGGCGCUGGAAUUAGGAUUCAUCUCAUUCUCAUCCAGUCCGAAAGGGCGUGGGUUCGAACCCCACUGCUGUCA
Molecule: non-coding RNA, 95 nt
Organism: Mycena haematopus
Lineage: Eukaryota; Fungi; Basidiomycota; Agaricomycetes; Agaricales; Mycenaceae
Source: the annotation of a GenBank genome assembly